Molecule: ribosomal RNA, 301 nt
Filed under: uncultured bacterium
Lineage: Bacteria
Description: partial 16S ribosomal RNA
Rfam family: Bacterial small subunit ribosomal RNA
Source: RNAcentral
CAGUCGCCACGGUAAUACGUAGGGUGCAAGCGUUAAUCGGAAUUACUGGGCGUAAAGCGUGCGCAGGCGGUUUGUUAAGACAGAUGUGAAAUCCCCGGGCUCAACCUGGGAACUGCAUUUGUGACUGGCAAGCUAGAGUCUGGCAGAGGGGGGUGGAAUUCCGCGUGUAGCAGUGAAAUGCGUAGAUAUGCGGAGGAACACCGAUGGCGAAGGCAGCCCCCUGGGCCAACACUGACGCUCAUGCACGAAAGCGUGGGGAGCAAACAGGAUUAGAUACCCCCGUAGUCCCUGUCUCUUAUAA